GUUCAAGUUGUGAUCUUCUGAAUCGUUUAGCCCUAUAAAUCUGGUGAAGGUGCCGUUUCAUUUUCCUUGGAAGCUCUGUGAACAUCGGACCCGUCAUUUCUUGAAGUGAGUGACUGGUGUCAUCUUUCUUGGUUCCUGUUCAGAGGAAGCUUCUCAGCUGUAGGGCUCUCAAAAGCCACGUUCACUCUCAUAGAUUUUUGUUGUUGAUGUUCUUGGUUUUUCUGUUUUGUAUUAAGAUGAUUUAUCUUAUGUUCUGUUUUUGUGUUUUUAACUUUUGAAAGUAUUUUUUUUUCUAGUUUUUGAUCUGAGAAAGUGAGUUCACUUUGGUUUUGACCCUUGAGUUUUUGAGCAAGAGUUUCCAUCUGCUGGUUCACCCCCAAGUGCCUGCAGCAGCUGGAGACUCGAUGGAGAGCCAGAAUGUGGGCAUUCAGUCCAGCUUUCUUGUGUGAAUGGCAGGAACCCAACCCCUCAGUCAUCAGCACCGCCCACCAGGUAUGAGACUUAUUUCAAUGCAGAAAUGAAUGGAGCAGAAUAGAGAAUGGAUAAAGGUGAAGAUUAUUGUGUUUUGUACUAAUGCAUGCCAUCUCAUCUUGUGUGCUUAGGAUGCAGAGAUAAGCAAGCAGCUCCCCUUAUGUAGCUUACCACUCAGAGAAAGAAUGUAACCUUUAAAAAGCAGAAAACAAAUUUUAGUUUUAAUGGUAAAAACUGAGAAAAAGAAACACAUGUUACUAUCUGAGCAAAUAACAUGUGAACCCCAACCCACCACAGAGGGCAUGAUGGCCUUGGGCCUGUGGGCAUCGGAUCCAGAGGAC
Ochotona princeps (American pika) is the source of this 812-nucleotide long non-coding RNA. RefSeq lists it as uncharacterized. Lineage: Eukaryota; Metazoa; Chordata; Mammalia; Lagomorpha; Ochotonidae. The transcript is spliced from 3 exons. The record is from RefSeq and is a predicted model, not a curated record.